Non-coding RNA from Pelobates cultripes (western spadefoot toad), 1399 nucleotides. NCBI's taxonomy places the organism in Eukaryota, Metazoa, Chordata, Amphibia, Anura, Pelobatidae. The record is from the annotation of a GenBank genome assembly.
CACAUUUGUUAGAAUAGUACAUUAUAAUUUCAAUGUUUGCUUUCAAGUGCUUCUGGGGUCACAUCAUGUUGUUUUAGGGGCUGUGCAAUUCCCCUAGCGCUACAUGUAAUCGCAUAUAAGCGCAUAACAAGAGAAGUGUUCAAACAUCACAGCAAAGGAUUGUACUUUUAUACUGACCAAGAGAAUUUAUGAAUAGAUUUUAAUAAUUUAACUAAAGAAACACUCCUAGCACUGUAACCAUUAUAGUGCACGUGAUACAGCAGGGCUUCACUCGGGGGAGCUAACUGAACCGUUCUAAAACAGUUUGACUGUUAUAGUGCCAGCAGUGCCCUUGCAUCCUCCUCCUACCGUGUUUCUCCGAAAAUAAGACCGGGUCUUAUAUUAAUUUUAGUCACAAAAAACACACUAGGGCUUAUUUAUUUACGGUACCGGUAUGUACAUUGAACAACAUUUAAACAACUUUUUCUUCAAAUACCGGUACAGUCAUCUUCAUUUUCCUUUGAACCAUUGGUCCUAAUCUCUCAUUUACAGCAAUAUAUGGUACAGUAGCUCUCCCUACCGUAAACAACAUUUAUUCAAUUACAAUCAUGUCAUCUUCUUCUGGAAUAUCAUCAUAACUCUCCAAACCCUGAUUGCCAGCCUGAAUUUCUUGCAUCUCCAUUUCCUUUUGAACCAUUGGGCCUAAUCUCUCAUGUAAAACAAUAUAGCUCUCCUUAAACGAGUACUUCUUGUCCAUGUAGCCUGCUCGUAGUGCUUUGGCAACACAGCUGUCAGUGAUUUUAUCCCAUGAAUUCUUCACCCAUGUCACGACCUCUAGCAGUUUAGGCUUCACAAAGUUUCCACGCUGAUUUCUGACCAAUCUAUUUUCCGUGCGCAAAUGGUCCUUGAAUGGUUUGUUUAUUACAAUAUCAAGAGUUUGGAGAUAAGCAGUCAUUCCUGCGGGAAUCAUUACUUGAUCUAUUCUUCUCUCUGCAAGGAAGUUCUUCAUGUCUUUUGUGCGGUGAGUGCUGGCUGAAUCCCAGACUAGCAGACCUCUUUGGCCACCUCUCAGAACAAGUGGCAGCAUUAAAUCGAUCCACUUUCUUAUAACUGCUUGUGUGCACCAGGCUUUUUCUGUUUCAAGAACAUAAAUGCCUGAAAUGCGUUCAAUCUGAUCUUUCUUGCCCUUUGCGAUAAUUAGAGGUGUGGCUUUUGUUCCAUCCAGACGAAUUGCCAAAACACAAGUAACACAUGCACUUUCAUAACCAGUGGAGGGAACAUAGAUUGAGGAGGCUCCCCUCUGAUCAAUUGUCGUUUGAGAUCCUUGGCCCAUAUACUCUGCAGUUUCAUCCAUCGCAAUCAUGUUGGAGAGUUGGUAUUUAGAAAAGUCUAUGCCAUCAAUAAAGAACUUGAAUGCAAG